AGUGGGAUAGCUGGGUCAAAUGGUGGUUCCAUUCCAAGUUUUCUAAGGAAUAUCCGUACUGCUUUCCAGAUUGGUUGCACCAAUUUGCAGUCCCACCAGCCAU
Molecule: microRNA precursor, 103 nt
Filed under: Marmota monax (woodchuck)
Lineage: Eukaryota; Metazoa; Chordata; Mammalia; Rodentia; Sciuridae
Source: RNAcentral